UGGCGAGUGGCGAACGGGUGAGUAAUGUAUCGGAACGUGCCUAGUAGCGGGGGAUAACUACGCGAAAGCGUAGCUAAUACCGCAUACGCCCUACGGGGAAAGGGGGGAUCGCAAGACCUCUCACUAUUGGAGCGGCCGAUAUCGGAUUAGCUAGUUGGUGAGGUAACGGCUCACCAAGGCGACGAUCCGUAGCUGGUUUGAGAGGACGACCAGCCACACUGGGACUGAGACACGGCCCAG
Molecule: ribosomal RNA, 240 nt
Filed under: uncultured Burkholderiales bacterium
Lineage: Bacteria; Pseudomonadati; Pseudomonadota; Betaproteobacteria; Burkholderiales
Description: partial 16S ribosomal RNA
Rfam family: Bacterial small subunit ribosomal RNA
Source: RNAcentral